This 368-nucleotide long non-coding RNA is filed under the name Patiria miniata (bat star). Its description in RNAcentral is "uncharacterized LOC119743168, transcript variant X3". The record is from RNAcentral. Lineage: Eukaryota; Metazoa; Echinodermata; Asteroidea; Valvatida; Asterinidae.
CGGGGAUGAUGUGUCUGUCUCCGAUGGCUGCUGUGACUGGGGGACUAUGAGAUUAAAGGGGACCAUUACAUUACAGCAACGGCAUACUCAGUUGUCUUGAAACAGCACUGAAACUGCGAAGUGUGUUUUUGGUCCAACGUAAUAACACCAAAAUGGAUGAGAAGCAGGGACCAACUUCUGAUGAUGUCCCAACUGGGGAGGUAACGUCAACCACAGUUACAGAGGGUGAUGUUGUCAAGAUGCCAACAGAUGUGGCCAUCACUAUGGAUGCUAUUCCCAAUGAAGAUGAGGAGGACAAAUCCAAAGGUCUUGACCCACAAGAUAACCAUUCCACCAGCACCUCUGACGUACCGGUGACUGGCGCUGCC